AGAGUUUGAUCCUGGCUCAGGAUGAACGCUGGCGGCGUGCCUAACACAUGCAAGUCGAACGGAGCUGCUUUGAUGAAGUUUUCGGAUGGAUUUAAAACAGCUUAGUGGCGGACGGGUGAGUAACGCGUGGGUAACCUGCCUCACACUGGGGGAUAACAGUUAGAAAUAGCUGCUAAUACCGCAUAAGCGCACGGUUCCGCAUGGAACAGUGUGAAAAACUCCGGUGGUGUGAGAUGGACCCGCGUCUGAUUAGCCAGUUGGCGGGGUAACGGCCCACCAAAGCGACGAUCAGUAGCCGGCCUGAGAGGGUGAACGGCCACAUUGGGACUGAGACACGGCCCAAACUCCUACGGGAGGCAGCAGUGGGGAAUAUUGCACAAUGGGGGGAACCCUGACGCAGCGACGCCGCGUGCGGGACGGAGGCCUUCGGGUCGUAAACCGCUUUCAGCAGGGAAGAGUCAAGACUGUACCUGCAGAAGAAGCCCCGGCUAACUACGUGCCAGCAGCCGCGGUAAUACGUAGGGGGCGAGCGUUAUCCGGAUUCAUUGGGCGUAAAGCGCGCGUAGGCGGCCCGGCAGGCCGGGGGUCGAAGCGGGGGGCUCAACCCCCCGAAGCCCCCGGAACCUCCGCGGCUUGGGUCCGGUAGGGGAGGGUGGAACACCCGGUGUAGCGGUGGAAUGCGCAGAUAUCGGGUGGAACACCGGUGGCGAAGGCGGCCCUCUGGGCCGAGACCGACGCUGAGGCGCGAAAGCUGGGGGAGCGAACAGGAUUAGAUACCCUGGUAGUCCCAGCCGUAAACGAUGGACGCUAGGUGUGGGGGGACGAUCCCCCCGUGCCGCAGCCAACGCAUUAAGCGUCCCGCCUGGGGAGUACGGCCGCAAGGCUAAAACUCAAAGGAAUUGACGGGGGCCCGCACAAGCAGCGGAGCAUGUGGCUUAAUUCGAAGCAACGCGAAGAACCUUACCAGGGCUUGACAUAUGGGUGAAGCGGGGGAGACCCCGUGGCCGAGAGGAGCCCAUACAGGUGGUGCAUGGCUGUCGUCAGCUCGUGUCGUGAGAUGUUGGGUUAAGUCCCGCAACGAGCGCAACCCCCGCCGCGUGUUGCCAUCGGGUGAUGCCGGGAACCCACGCGGGACCGCCGCCGUCAAGGCGGAGGAGGGCGGGGACGACGUCAAGUCAUCAUGCCCCUUAUGCCCUGGGCUGCACACGUGCUACAAUGGCCGGUACAGAGGGAUGCCACCCCGCGAGGGGGAGCGGAUCCCGGAAAGCCGGCCCCAGUUCGGAUUGGGGGCUGCAACCCGCCCCCAUGAAGUCGGAGUUGCUAGUAAUCGCGGAUCAGCAUGCCGCGGUGAAUGCGUUCCCGGGCCUUGCACUCACCGCCCGUCA
This 1385-nucleotide ribosomal RNA is filed under the name uncultured bacterium. Its description in RNAcentral is "bacterial SSU rRNA". It matches the Rfam family "Bacterial small subunit ribosomal RNA". The record is from RNAcentral.